This 496-nucleotide ribosomal RNA is filed under the name uncultured bacterium. Its description in RNAcentral is "partial 16S ribosomal RNA". It matches the Rfam family "Bacterial small subunit ribosomal RNA", at positions 28 to 506 of the family's 1533-position model. The record is from RNAcentral.
GAUGAACGCUGGCGGCGUGCCUAAUACAUGCAAGUCGAGCGAACAGACGAGGAGCUUGCUCCUUCGACGUUAGCGGCGGACGGGUGAGUAACACGUAGGUAACCUACCUAUAAGACUGGGAUAACUUCGGGAAACCGGAGCUAAUACCGGAUAAUAUUUCGAACCGCAUGGUUCGAUAGUGAAAGAUGGCUUUGCUAUCACUUAUAGAUGGACCUGCGCCGUAUUAGCUAGUUGGUAAGGUAACGGCUUACCAAGGCAACGAUACGUAGCCGACCUGAGAGGGUGAUCGGCCACACUGGAACUGAGACACGGUCCAGACUCCUACGGGAGGCAGCAGUAGGGAAUCUUCCGCAAUGGGCGAAAGCCUGACGGAGCAACGCCGCGUGAGUGAUGAAGGUCUGCGGAUCGUAAAACGCUGUUAUUAGGGAAGAACAAACGUGUAAGUAACUGUGCACGUCUUGACGGUACCUAAUCAGAAAGCCACGGCUAACUACGU